CAUAUUCCCAUGAAGGAUUUUUUUAAAAUGUGAAAUGUCUUUUUAUGCUCUUACCUUUUAUAAAAAGGGAUUUCUUGCUUUGUACCGCAUUGGUGGCAAUUGUGAGGAAAGCCAGUUAAAUUACCUUUUUAGAAAGGAAAUACAGUGGUUUCUUUAGUUUAGAGUGACUUUUUUUAUAUAACAAGAUGGCCUAGAAACAGUCAACUGUCAUAAAUAACCAGGGCACCCUGGUUAAUAUGUCUAGCAAUUCCAAAUUUUGUUUGAGGGACUGAUUCUCAGCUGUUGGUAGCCAUGACUGUCAUGUAGAAUUGGAGAAAAUGCAAAGAAAUCAAACGUGCCGAGUGUAGAAAGGAUCUUCAUAUUAAAUAGCUUGGACCCUUCUGUAUCAGGCAAGUAGUGUGUGUCAGUCUAAGCCACAGUCAUGAAGCAAGUAUGGGAAAGUCAGGAGUACGUUUAAGAGAAAGAUGUCCAGAAGAAAAAUGGUUGUGUAGGAAGGGGGAAGUCAGUGCAUGGGCACCAUUCGAGCAGAGGGCAGACUUGUAAAGUGCCCAAAGUGAAAAGAAUGUGAGGAACCAGUUAGCAGAAAGAUGUUUGCACAUACUUUAUACAAACUACAGAGCAUCUUAUAUUGGAAGUGAAAGCAAUGAACUUGGACUUUUACUCAUGUGCAUAUAUUCUGAAGGCAAUAUGGACUAUUUGAAAUUAAAAACAUACUAAUUGGACCUUAAUAAAUCAUUCUCAAUCCGUGUUUUGGUAAUGUGUGGUUCUGGUCAGUGCUGUCUCUCUUGUUGGAGAGUCUUCCGGUUUGAAUUGCGUGGUGCUUUCCUUCUGUGACCUCUUUUAUUUCACUGCCAUGAGGGCCAGUGAACUUUGAGGUGAAGCCGUCAUAUGCUUCCCCAGCUCAGAACUGCUUUUUUCAACCUAACAAGUCUUUCCAGUGUCCAAGAGACGGUGGUUAAUGUUGUACGAAAGGAGGGAUAACAUCUUAGGACAAUACUUUACUUCAGUGGUGAAACUGUUAGAAUGAGUGUCUUUUGGAAAAACUCUGAUUUUAUAAAAGCUUAUGAUGACUUAAUGGAAAAUGCUCACUAGGAGUUUAUCAAGUUACAAUGGUCUUUCUGCUUAUAGAUUUAAUAACGAGAUAAAAGUGAUAAGUAUCUUGCAGUUAUAUGCUAAUUGUAUUCUUUUCAAUAUAUUGCUAAGAGGUUGGAAAAAGAUAGGUUUAUGUAAAUGAAUGCCUCCAUGAGUACUGGAAGAGAAUGCUGAAUCUUAAUUUUAGGUGGAUGUAAGAUUGUUAGAAAUCAAAUGUUUUGGAGCUCUUCUUCACAAAUUACCCACUUCUCACAUAUUGCUUUUUUUUUUUUUACUAGUGAAACCAUAAUUUCCUACACCCAAAACCUCAGCUAACAUUUUAUAAUUAGUCUUGUCAGUUUUCCCAUUCUCGUUCCCAAUUAACUAUUACUUUAGGUUCCACUGUUCAUCUUUCUAAUUUAUUCUAUUAGUCUCUCCACUGCUGAAAUGUAAUUUUGUGAUAUUGUUUCUAGCCUUUCUUAAACCCAGAGUGUGACACGUGCUAGAUAAAAGGCAUAGAAAUGCUUCUUUAUCAGGUCCAUUCAUUAUACCAAGGUCGGCAGAACGUUUUUAUGUCAAGAUCUUUUGAAACAAAUUGCUUGUUUUUUAACACCAAUUGAGCAUCACCUGAUUCCAAACCCUUGGAAGGACUGGGGUUUGUGUAUGGGGAUUGGCUUGGAUUUAGGGACCAUCUAACAGAAGAAAUGUGUGUAACUUGGAGCCAGAAUGGGUCAUCAGUCUUCCAAAGCAGGGAGCAUUCAUUUUAUAAUAUUCACCUGUACAUUGUGUAGUCUAUGUAUAAAAUUCUCUAAUUCUUUCCUUAAAUUAUAAGAUUCCUAUUCAUAGAUUAUUUACUAAUAAUCUAUUUAAUGAUGUGGCAUGUGAAGACCAAAAUCUAAAGCAGAGGCUAGCGAAC
This 1987-nucleotide long non-coding RNA is filed under the name Equus asinus (donkey). Its description in RNAcentral is "lncRNA (ENSEASG00005027532.1)". Lineage: Eukaryota; Metazoa; Chordata; Mammalia; Perissodactyla; Equidae. The record is from RNAcentral.